Molecule: ribosomal RNA, 253 nt
Filed under: uncultured bacterium
Lineage: Bacteria
Description: partial 16S ribosomal RNA
Rfam family: Bacterial small subunit ribosomal RNA
Source: RNAcentral
UACGUAGGUGGCAAGCGUUGUCCGGAAUUACUGGGCGUAAAGCGCACGUAGGCGGAUUGUUAAGUCGGGGGUGAAAUCCUGGAGCUCAACUCCAGAACUGCCUUCGAUACUGGCGAUCUCGAGUUCGGGAGAGGUGAGUGGAACUGCGAGUGUAGAGGUGAAAUUCGUAGAUAUUCGCAAGAACACCAGUGGCGAAGGCGGCUCACUGGCCCGAUACUGACGCUGAGGUGCGAAAGCGUGGGGAGCAAACAGG